GACGAACGCUGGCGGCGUGCCUAAUACAUGCAAGUUGAGCGCUGAAGGUUGGUACUUGUACCAACUGGAUGAGCAGCGAACGGGUGAGUAACGCGUGGGGAAUCUGCCUUUGAGCGGGGGACAACAUUUGGAAACGAAUGCUAAUACCGCAUAAAAACUUUAAACACAAGUUUUAAGUUUGAAAGAUGCAAUUGCAUCACUCAAAGAUGAUCCCGCGUUGUAUUAGCUAGUUGGUGAGGUAAAGGCUCACCAAGGCGAUGAUACAUAGCCUACCUGAGAGGGUGAUCGGCCACACUGGGAGUGAGACACGGCCCAAAGUCCUACGGGAGGCAGCAGGAGGGCAUCUUCGGCAAUGGACGAGAGUCUGACCGCGAAACGCCGCGGGAGUGAAGAAGGUUGUCGGAUCGUAAAACUCUGUUGGUAGAGAAGAACGUUGGUGAGAGUGGAAAGCUCAUCAAGUGACGGUAACUACUCAGAAAGAGACGGCUAACUACGUG
RNAcentral lists this ribosomal RNA (497 nucleotides) under uncultured bacterium. RNAcentral's name for it is "partial 16S ribosomal RNA". It matches the Rfam family "Bacterial small subunit ribosomal RNA", at positions 28 to 507 of the family's 1533-position model. The record is from RNAcentral.